This is a long non-coding RNA of Eupeodes corollae, 940 nucleotides long. RefSeq lists it as uncharacterized. NCBI's taxonomy places the organism in Eukaryota, Metazoa, Arthropoda, Insecta, Diptera, Syrphidae. The record is from RefSeq and is a predicted model, not a curated record. The transcript is spliced from 3 exons.
UUCAACUUAGAAUUCAAUACUUAUCAAAACAUAGUCAGAAAUCUUUUUUUAUUUAAUCUUCUUUCAAAACUAUAAAGUAAAAGUCAAUUUUAUUAAUAGUUUACAACAUAAGUAUCCACUGAAUUAAACAAAACGUGUGCCAACAUUAAGCCAAGGAAGUUGGUCUGUGGCUGCGGAAGGAAGGUGAAUUACCCAAGAGGAGAGGAGCGGCGCAGCGAGGCUAGACAAGAGGAAGCUGUUCAAAACGAAACUUUUAUGGCGCUCGUUCUUGCGGGCUUAAAUAUAUUAUUUUAUGUUGUUGAUGGUAAUUCCGACUCACAAAAGAUCUGUGGAAUUUCAGGAAUUUCAAUUAAUUCCCAUAAUUCCCCUUCAAAAGGGGAAAGUCUAUGGUUCUUACUGGCAUUUGGCUUCUGGUGUAUAAGAGUAUAAGAUGUGGCUGCUUCCUCAGGAAAAAUAUAGGACCGAGGACCAGGACCAUUACAAUGAGCGCUCUCAUUUUUUGGCAAGGGUAACAGCUUUAACAACAGUAACAGCACAUCAAACAGGCUGUGGGCCACAGGGGUGGUUGGUGAUUUCAAUUAUUUACACUUAGCUUACAAAAUGUUACAACGUUGGCAAACGAUUACGAACAUAAUUUAUUGGCUGAGGAUGAGAAUGAAAAUGACGACAACAGAAAGAGGAAGCUUAUUUAAAUUGCACUUGUGAUAUUUUUGGGGGAAUAAAAACAGAAAUUAGCUUCUAUGUUCACAAUUACGCCAACGGAGUUGGGAUUGGGAUGUUUAUAUUUUUAUUUUUUAGUGCAUGCAUCCUUAUAAUGAAAAGACUUAUUGGAUAAUCAUUGUUAUUUUUUUUUUCAUAAACAGAAAGGCUCUCAAUAUUAAGCAUAUUCAAAGAUUGCGUCUAUAGUUCUUAUAAAUUAUAGCAGUUAAAAGGUACAUAA